RNAcentral lists this ribosomal RNA (469 nucleotides) under uncultured bacterium. RNAcentral's name for it is "partial 16S ribosomal RNA". It matches the Rfam family "Bacterial small subunit ribosomal RNA", at positions 28 to 507 of the family's 1533-position model. The record is from RNAcentral.
GACGAACGCUGGCGGCGUGCUUAACACAUGCAAGUCGAACGGAAAGGCCCUGCUUGCAGGGUGCUCGAGUGGCGAACGGGUGAGUAACACGUGGGUGAUCUGCCCCUUACUUUGGGAUAAGCCUGGGAAACUGGGUCUAAUACUGGAUAGGACCAUGCUGUAGGUGGUGUGGUGGAAAGAUUAGUUUCGGUAAGGGAUGAGCUCGCGGCCUAUCAGUUUGUUGGUGGGGUAAUGGCCUACCAAGGCGUCGACGGGUAGCCGGCCUGAGAGGGUGGACGGCCACAUUGGGACUGAGAUACGGCCCAGACUCCUACGGGAGGCAGCAGUGGGGAAUAUUGCACAAUGGGCGCAAGCCUGAUGCAGCGACGCCGCGUGGGGGAUGACGGCCUUCGGGUUGUAAACUCCUUUCAGCCAUGACGAAGCCCUUGUGGUGACGGUAGUGGUAGAAGAAGCACCGGCUAACUACGUG